RNAcentral lists this ribosomal RNA (274 nucleotides) under uncultured bacterium. RNAcentral's name for it is "partial 16S ribosomal RNA". It matches the Rfam family "Bacterial small subunit ribosomal RNA", at positions 523 to 796 of the family's 1533-position model. The record is from RNAcentral.
ACACGGGGGGUGCAAGCGUUAAUCGGAAUUACUGGGCGUAAAGCGCGCGUAGGCGGUUUGCUCAGUCGGAUGUGAAAGCCCAGGGCUCAACCUUGGAACUGCAUACGAUACUGGCAAACUAGAGUGUGAGAGAGGAUAGUGGAAUUUCCGGUGUAGCGGUGAAAUGCGUAGAUAUCGGAAGGAACAUCAGUGGCGAAGGCGACUGUCUGGCUCAACACUGACGCUGAGGUGCGAAAGCGUGGGUAGCAAACAGGAUUAGAAACCCUAGUAGUCC